This 166-nucleotide ribosomal RNA is filed under the name uncultured bacterium. Its description in RNAcentral is "partial 16S rRNA". It matches the Rfam family "Bacterial small subunit ribosomal RNA", at positions 355 to 511 of the family's 1533-position model. The record is from RNAcentral.
UAGGGAAUCUUCGGCAAAUGGACGAAAGUCUGACCGAGCAACGCCGCGUGAGUGAAGAAGGUUUUCGGAUCGUAAAACUCUGUUGGUAGAGAAGAACGUUGGUGAGAGUGGAAAGCUCAUCAAGUGACGGUAACUACCCAGAAAGGGACGGCUAAAUACGUGCCAG